AAGAACAACAUGAAACACAAGGCUAAGGAAUAAUUACUUGUAAACCAGUACAGGUCUGGUUAACCGAUGGAUUCAAGUUAUAAGAAAGGUGCUUUAGACUAGAUGUUAGAAAGAACUUCUUGACAGUAGGGGGUAGUUCAACAGUGGAAUUGACUACCUCAGAAGGUGGUAGACUCUCUUUCACCUGAGGCUUUUGGAUACAGGAAGCUUUGACAGUGUUUGUCAUAUAUGAAUGAGGCUGGACUCUGGAGUUCCUUUCCAACAUAGCAUUUCUAUGAUUUCUGGAUGAGCAAAUCUUCCUAUUUCACUUUUCUCCUUUUUUAACAUGGCUAAAUAUUUCUGUUGUAAACAUGAAAAUAACUGUCUACUUUUUCCUUUAUCAGAAAAUGAAAAUCUCACCCAUCCCUGCUGAUAGAAAUAACCUGCAUGAUGCUUAAUGGCAGACACAGUCCUAUUUCAUCAUGAUCCUCUCCAACAAGUUCAGAACAUCAAAUCAAGAUACAAACGUGGUCUCUUAGAGCAAUGCGGUCAGUGAUGACACAUUUACGUACCUAUCCUGCCAUCUCUCACUAGAGAACUUCAUGAAAUGAGUGAGAAUGCUUUCUUUCUUUCUGUCUGAAAGUAGACUAGGAGAAAGAGAAAUCCAUUCAGCAUAUGGCAUUUAUACUUUUUUUUUUUAAAAAAAACCCAACACAUUUAGAUUACAGGACUUCUGAGUCGGCCUCCAUUUGUUAGCACUUCACAUCUGUUGCCUUGAGAUAGCAUCUCUUCCAGUCAAAUAAAAUGGUUAGCACAAGAAGGUAAAAU
RNAcentral lists this long non-coding RNA (807 nucleotides) under Pogona vitticeps (central bearded dragon). RNAcentral's name for it is "lncRNA (ENSPVIG00000019751.1)". Lineage: Eukaryota; Metazoa; Chordata; Lepidosauria; Squamata; Agamidae. The record is from RNAcentral.